AAUCCACUUUAUGGGGCUUUUUGAGGUGGAAUGACCCUGACUGAUGGGGUGUUGAAAUCCACUUUAUGGGGCUUUUUGAGGUGGAAUGACCCUGACUGAUGGGGUGUUGAAAUCCACUUUAUGGGGCUUUUUGAGGUGGAAUGACCCUGACUGAUGGGGUGUUGAAAUCCACUUUAUGGGGCUUUUUGAGGUGGAAUGACCCUGACUGAUGGGGUGUUGAAAUCCACUUUAUGGGGCUUUUUGAGGUGGAAUGACCCUGACUGAUGGGGUGUUGAAAUCCACUUUAUGGGGCUUUUUGAGGUGGAAUGACCCUGACUGAUGGGGUGUUGAAAUCCACUUUAUGGGGCUUUUUGAGGUGGAAUGACCCUGACUGAUGGGGUGUUGAAAUCCACUUUAUGGGGCUUUUUGAGGUGGAAUGACCCUGACUGAUGGGGUGUUGAAAUCCACUUUAUGGGGCUUUUUGAGGUGGAAUGACCCUGACUGAUGGGGUGUUGAAAUCCACUUUAUGGGGCUUUUUGAGGUGGAAUGACCCUGACUGAUGGGGUGUUGAAAUCCACUUUAUGGGGCUUUUUGAGGUGGAAUGACCCUGACUGAUGGGGUGUUGAAAUCCACUUUAUGGGGCUUUUUGAGGUGGAAUGACCCUGACUGAUGGGGUGUUGAAAUCCACUUUAUGGGGCUUUUUGAGGUGGAAUGACCCUGACUGAUGGGGUGUUGAAAUCCACUUUAUGGGGCUUUUUGAGGUGGAAUGACCCUGACUGCGUUUCUUUAUCAUUGUGAAACCAGAUAGAAAGACAACAAACCAUAAUAUUCAGGUCUUUAUCUUGGCUCUUUUCCAAAAAGGGGAGAAACUAAAAAGACAAACUUACAUAACCUCUGCUCAGUCAAUUGCGAACCCAGCGAGUCAAUCAUGUGAUGUUAAUCCUCUCUCAGUUGAAUUUCAAUUGAAUGGGUUUUAUUGGUA
Oncorhynchus keta (chum salmon) is the source of this 961-nucleotide long non-coding RNA. RefSeq lists it as uncharacterized. The record is from RefSeq and is a predicted model, not a curated record. The transcript has 3 exons. NCBI's taxonomy places the organism in Eukaryota, Metazoa, Chordata, Actinopteri, Salmoniformes, Salmonidae.